GUAGGGAAUAUUGGGCAAUGGAUGCAAGUCUGACCCAGCCAUCCCGCGUGCCGGAAGAAGGCCCUCAGGGUUGUAAACGGCUUUUGACGGUGAAGAAUCGACAGGAUGCGUCCUGUUUUGACGGUAGCCGUUGAAUAAGCACCGGCUAACUCCGUGCCAGCAGCCGCGGUAAUACGGAGGGUGCGAGCGUUGUCCGGAUUUAUUGGGUUUAAAGGGUGCGUAGGCUGGAAGGUCAGUCAGCGGUGAAAAGCUGUCGCUUAACGAUAGUCUUGCCGCAGAUACUUCCUUUCUUGGAUGAGGAGGAGGCCACUGGAACGGAUGGUGUAGCGGUGAAAUGCAUAGAUAUCAUCCAGAACACCGAUUGCGAAGGCAGGUGGCUGUACCUUAAUCGACGCUGAUGCACGAAAGCAUGGGGAGCGAACAGGAUUAGAAACCCCUGUAGUCC
RNAcentral lists this ribosomal RNA (445 nucleotides) under uncultured bacterium. RNAcentral describes it as "partial 16S ribosomal RNA". It matches the Rfam family "Bacterial small subunit ribosomal RNA", at positions 354 to 796 of the family's 1533-position model. The record is from RNAcentral.